AUCCAAACUCGGUAAAGACUAAGUUAUUUAUUCUUUCCAGGGUUUAAUAUGUCGUGGCAAAUGUUCCUUUCCUUUGCCAUGUUGCUGAAGAAAGAGGUGCGUGCCCUUGAGCGUGGCAAGCUGAUGUAAGAGACGGGUCUUCUCAAGAUCGGGACGCCUUCAUGGUCAUUGUCACGAGUUCCGACCCAAAUGCUAUUUCUUGACCGCUGCAGACUUUUCUAUCGUCUAUCUCGUUCGUCUGGCGGAAUGCAGAGGAGUUAACUUGGAGGAAUUAACGUCGUCUGUGGCAGCAGGUAUGUGUUGGCCCUUAGGUAGCCCAUAGUAAGCUCAUAGUUUACUUGAAGUUCAUGUUUUGUUUUGUCAUAGAUCGGUAACCUUUUGCUUUUGUCACAUUUAUAAUGAAUAACUUUAAUAUCAUAACCAAGGUUUACUGUGAUCUAAUGGACAGUGUUACUUGCCAAUUUAAUGCUCAGGCGUAACUUUACGGGUUAUAAUUAUCUGAAUAAAAUUUAACUAAACAACUAGUUUGUUGGUGGUUUAUCCUAAGUGUAAGAAUACAGAUAUUAAUGAACCAACAGCUCUACCGUUAGCAGUCAGAGCUAGAAGUUGUAAUUUUUAGGGUAUGUAGGAGUUUUGAGAGAAGAAAUAAAACAGCUAUCAAGUG
This is a long non-coding RNA of Cydia splendana, 664 nucleotides long. RefSeq lists it as uncharacterized. The transcript has 2 exons. The record is from RefSeq and is a predicted model, not a curated record. Lineage: Eukaryota; Metazoa; Arthropoda; Insecta; Lepidoptera; Tortricidae.